This 756-nucleotide ribosomal RNA is filed under the name uncultured Bacteroidota bacterium. RNAcentral describes it as "bacterial SSU rRNA". It matches the Rfam family "Bacterial small subunit ribosomal RNA", at positions 66 to 823 of the family's 1533-position model. Lineage: Bacteria; Pseudomonadati; Bacteroidota. The record is from RNAcentral.
GGGGUAUAGUUCUUCGGAACUAGAGACCGGCGCACGGGUGCGUAACGCGUAUGCAAUCUACCUUUCACAGAGGGAUAGCCCAGAGAAAUUUGGAUUAAUACCUCAUAGUAUAAUGAGUUGGCAUCAACACAUUAUUAAAGUCACAACGGUGAAAGAUGAGCAUGCGUCCCAUUAGCUAGAUGGUAAGGUAACGGCUUACCAUGGCAACGAUGGGUAGGGGUCCUGAGAGGGAGAUCCCCCACACUGGUACUGAGACACGGACCAGACUCCUACGGGAGGCAGCAGUGAGGAAUAUUGGACAAUGGGCGCAAGCCUGAUCCAGCCAUGCCGCGUGCAGGAUGACGGUCCUAUGGAUUGUAAACUGCUUUUGUACGGGAAGAAACACUGGUUCGUGAACCAGCUUGACGGUACUGUAAGAAUAAGGAUCGGCUAACUCCGUGCCAGCAGCCGCGGUAAUACGGAGGAUCCAAGCGUUAUCCGGAAUCAUUGGGUUUAAAGGGUCCGUAGGCGGUUUAGUAAGUCAGUGGUGAAAGCCCAUCGCUCAACGGUGGAACGGCCAUUGAUACUGCUAAACUUGAAUUAUUAGGAAGUAACUAGAAUAUGUAGUGUAGCGGUGAAAUGCUUAGAGAUUACAUGGAAUACCAAUUGCGAAGGCAGGUUACUACUAAUGGAUUGACGCUGAUGGACGAAAGCGUGGGUAGCGAACAGGAUUAGAUACCCUGGUAGUCCACGCCGUAAACGAUGGAUACUAGCUGU